Molecule: long non-coding RNA, 525 nt
Organism: Gallus gallus (chicken)
Lineage: Eukaryota; Metazoa; Chordata; Aves; Galliformes; Phasianidae
Exons: 3
Source: RefSeq, a predicted model, not a curated record
GUGGUUGUCACAGGACUGAGUGAAAACUGAAAGCCAGUUGUGACAAGAAAUGACGACAAAGCUCUGAGAGUAGAGCUUUAGGGGGCUUUCUGUUACCCUGAAUAGCCUGUCUAAUGAAAUCAUGCCAGCAUUAUAAUUGUGGUUAUGAAGUGAUGCACACUAUUCACGGAAUAGGAAAUUACACUUUCCAUAGUGUCAGUCUGGAGCCAGCUAAACAAAGGCUGUCCAUUCAUCCUCAGUUUUUCCAGAUGCUUCCAGAAGUAUGCUUAGUGAUAAAAAAUUUAUCCCACCCAUAUUUUGCUACUAAGUGGCUUGUUGGGAGAGGCAGUCCUGUACAGAAAUUCCAGAUUUCUUCACACACAGCUGAUGAGCAGUUGCCCAGUUGAUGUCCACUCGAGGAGAGAAUUAUAUGGAAGUGGAAUUAUGAAGGCUAAAGAAGUUUAGCUGUUAGUUAGCAGUCACUGUCCACAAUAGAGAUUCAUGUAGUACCGCUGAAGUCAAGCCAUACGGGGAGAAGAUUUCAUG